Molecule: ribosomal RNA, 1508 nt
Filed under: mixed sample
Description: bacterial SSU rRNA
Rfam family: Bacterial small subunit ribosomal RNA
Source: RNAcentral
AGAGUUUGAUCCUGGCUCAGGAUGAACGCUAGCUACAGGCUUAACACAUGCAAGUCGAGGGGCAGCAUGGUCUUAGCUUGCUAAGGCCGAUGGCGACCGGCGCACGGGUGAGUAACACGUAUCCAACCUGCCGUCUACUCUUGGACAGCCUUCUGAAAGGAAGAUUAAUACAAGAUGGCAUCAUGAGUCCGCAUGUUCACAUGAUUAAAGGUAUUCCGGUAGACGAUGGGGAUGCGUUCCAUUAGAUAGUAGGCGGGGUAACGGCCCACCUAGUCUUCGAUGGAUAGGGGUUCUGAGAGGAAGGUCCCCCACAUUGGAACUGAGACACGGUCCAAACUCCUACGGGAGGCAGCAGUGAGGAAUAUUGGUCAAUGGGCGAGAGCCUGAACCAGCCAAGUAGCGUGAAGGAUGACUGCCCUAUGGGUUGUAAACUUCUUUUAUAAAGGAAUAAAGUCGGGUAUGCAUACCCGUUUGCAUGUACUUUAUGAAUAAGGAUCGGCUAACUCCGUGCCAGCAGCCGCGGUAAUACGGAGGAUCCGAGCGUUAUCCGGAUUUAUUGGGUUUAAAGGGAGCGUAGAUGGAUGUUUAAGUCAGUUGUGAAAGUUUGCGGCUCAACCGUAAAAUUGCAGUUGAUACUGGAUAUCUUGAGUGCAGUUGAGGCAGGCGGAAUUCGUGGUGUAGCGGUGAAAUGCUUAGAUAUCACGAGGAACUCCGAUUGCGAAGGCAGCCUGCUAAGCUGCAACUGACAUUGAGGCUCGAAAGUGUGGGUAUCAAACAGGAUUAGAUACCCUGGUAGUCCACACGGUAAACGAUGAAUACUCGCUGUUUGCGAUAUACGGCAAGCGGCCAAGCGAAAGCGUUAAGUAUUCCACCUGGGGAGUACGCCGGCAACGGUGAAACUCAAAGGAAUUGACGGGGGCCCGCACAAGCGGAGGAACAUGUGGUUUAAUUCGAUGAUACGCGAGGAACCUUACCCGGGCUUAAAUUGCAGAUGAAUUACGGUGAAAGCCGUAAGCCGCAAGGCAUCUGUGAAGGUGCUGCAUGGUUGUCGUCAGCUCGUGCCGUGAGGUGUCGGCUUAAGUGCCAUAACGAGCGCAACCCUUGUUGUCAGUUACUAACAGGUUCUGCUGAGGACUCUGACAAGACUGCCAUCGUAAGAUGUGAGGAAGGUGGGGAUGACGUCAAAUCAGCACGGCCCUUACGUCCGGGGCUACACACGUGUUACAAUGGGGGGUACAGAGGGCCGCUACCACGCGAGUGGAUGCCAAUCCCAAAAACCUCUCUCAGUUCGGACUGGAGUCUGCAACCCGACUCCACGAAGCUGGAUUCGCUAGUAAUCGCGCAUCAGCCACGGCGCGGUGAAUACGUUCCCGGGCCUUGUACACACCGCCCGUCAAGCCAUGGGAGCCGGGGGUACCUGAAGUGCGUAACCGCGAGGAGCGCCCUAGGGUAAAACUGGUGACUGGGGCUAAGUCGUAACAAGGUAGCCGUACCGGAAGGUGCGGCUG